AAGCAUCAGUCCGCGAAGAUACAGCAGCGGUAAGAGGAGGACCUACCUCUCCGUCGUAUUGCUCUAUGUCAGCACAACACGCAGAAUCUAGCAUUGCCGCUGGCCUGAUAGAAUGUUUCAUGGCUUGACUGGAGCUCCUCGGUUUGGAUCCAAGAAAGGCAGCAAGCAGGGGACAUCAACUUCUGGACUUCAAUCCAGCGGCAGUUGCAGCUUGAACUGGACGUAGAGCACCAAAAAGAGUUCACUGGGCAUCCCCAUGAAGUUCGUUGUGCGCAG
Lolium perenne is the source of this 276-nucleotide non-coding RNA. The record is from RefSeq and is a predicted model, not a curated record. Lineage: Eukaryota; Viridiplantae; Streptophyta; Magnoliopsida; Poales; Poaceae.